UCGUUGGUGAACAAUUCGCGAAGUUCUAUUGUACUUGUACCUAUUGAUAUUUUCCUGUGCUACUUUUUUCCUACCUACUUUGUUAGAAUUUGUAACUUACAAGUUCAGGCCCUACUUCCCCGUUUUUGCGUGGAUAUUCAACUGGUAAAACUUCCAGAACCAUUAUGUGUUUUGGAUAAAGCCGAAAUGAUAAAAAGUUUGUGGAUAAUGUGUUAGAUGCUGAUCGACUUUGUGUGUAACUCAUACUAAGAGAUGCAAGCAACAAUAGGUAACAAGUCUCCUGAUGAAUGUUCCAGUCCGAGAGUUGGAAGCAAUGUGUCUGUAUAAGUUGUGGAAUAUCUUUGGGAAGGCAUACAAGAAGACAAAAUCACAGGCCAUAAGCUUAGGGAAAGAAAUGAAGAGUGACAUUAUAUAGAAAAACAAAAAUAUCUCCGAGACAGAUUCCUGAUGGAUGCUCAUGUAUGCGUUGUUUGCACGAUGAGCUCACCUCAAAAGUAUUAAUAUCUAGUGAACAUAAGAGCUGUGUUAAGUGUGACGUUCCGUUGCAUUGUAUGUAGUUAGUAGCUAUUUAUGUUCAUAAAUGUUGUUAAACUACGAGCUUAAAUCACUUUAUAAUUUAUAUUAUCAUAUUAUUAAAUAGUUCAAUAAGUAAAUAGUUAAAUAAGCUAGUUAGGCACAUAACCCAUAUAUUUUAAUGUUAUUGUCAAGUUUAUUCUAUACCUACUUACUAAUAUGUUACCAUAUUAAGUUCCCUGACAUGAUUUAUGUAAUGACUAUGUACUAACAUCAGUAAGUAGUAACUGGGACCAGCAGCUUAACAUGCCAUUCGAAGCAUAGAUUAUCUUACUUCAGGCAAUCGGUUGAUCAGCCAGCCAUCUAACCAAACUGGACCACGGAGGCCGAGAGUACUUGGUUAAGUUGCUGUUUUAUUUCAACUAUUUAAUUAAAUGUAGAAAUAUUUUGUGUGGUUGCACCUACUUGUGAUAUUUUAAAUAUA
Pectinophora gossypiella (pink bollworm) is the source of this 997-nucleotide long non-coding RNA. RefSeq lists it as uncharacterized. The record is from RefSeq and is a predicted model, not a curated record. Lineage: Eukaryota; Metazoa; Arthropoda; Insecta; Lepidoptera; Gelechiidae. The transcript is spliced from 3 exons.